Molecule: ribosomal RNA, 310 nt
Filed under: uncultured Bacteroidota bacterium
Lineage: Bacteria; Pseudomonadati; Bacteroidota
Description: bacterial SSU rRNA
Rfam family: Bacterial small subunit ribosomal RNA
Source: RNAcentral
AUGCAGCAAUGCAUAGUGGCAGACGGGUGCGUAACGCGUAUGCAACCUACCCCGGAUCGGGGAACAACUUCGCGAAAGUGGAGCUAAUACCGCGUAACAUUGCGGGGCGGCAUCGUCCUGCAAUUAAACUUACGGGGAUCCGGGAUGGGCAUGCGUCUGAUUAGCUAGUUGGUGAGGUAACGGCUCACCAAGGCGACGAUCAGUAGGGGAACUGAGAGGUUGAUCCCCCACACUGGCACUGAGAUACGGGCCAGACUCCUACGGGAGGCAGCAGUAGGGAAUAUUGGGCAAUGGUCGGAAGACUGACCCA